This 208-nucleotide long non-coding RNA is filed under the name Linum usitatissimum (flax). RNAcentral's name for it is "long non-coding RNA (LUSI_LNC001817)". Lineage: Eukaryota; Viridiplantae; Streptophyta; Magnoliopsida; Malpighiales; Linaceae. The record is from RNAcentral.
CAGCUUUGUCCGACGCCACUGCACUUUCUGGCUCACCUCCAUCUCUUCCAACCCCAAGUCUUUGGCAUGCUUGAAGAGGAAUGCUACACGGGUGAAUAACAGAAACACGGAUAUGAGCCACUCAGAAUUCAAGGCCCAACUCACAUCCCAGAAUAUUCUGAAGAACGCAACAGGCCAUUCUGAGGAUUUCUUUCCUUUAACUUUGCAA